UUUUUCUCACCCUCUCUCCCACCAUAACCUGCUACAACGACGCCAAGAACUUUCACCAUACAAUCGCUAGCACCAAGCAACCACCGCCACCAUAUUCUCAUAUAUUUUCAUCUCUACUCUCUCUAAUCGUAAACAACACAGUUCAGGUGGUGAACAUGUUUGAAUCGAACAAUGAGACGGUGAACAAAUCAGGUGGCCGGUGAACAUGCUUGGAUCGAAAAAAGAAAAAAAGAUGGGGUGAAGGAGAUUGGAAUCGAAUGGAGGAGAGAGAGUGAGACUAGAUCUGAAAUCACUUCUCUCUCUUUUGCCAGAAUCGAAAUCCACCAGAUUUGGGGCUAGAACUUGACGAAAUCCACUGGAUCUGUACAUGUAUCUCUCUUCCAAUGGGUUGGGGUUAGGGUUUAAUGAGGAUUUGGGGCUAAGGUUUGAUUAGGAUGUUGGAUUUUAGAGGAUCGAAAGCCUAAGCUUCUGAUAAUUCAUCUUAUCCACAUGUCUAAAUUUUCUUGAUAAGAUAAAUAUUGUUUUAUGCAAUUAAUGGUAGAAUUUCAAUUCUGUUUUGGUGAUGGUGGCUGGUGGGUUGUUGGUGGCGGGUGGUGGUGA
Molecule: long non-coding RNA, 600 nt
Filed under: Helianthus annuus (common sunflower)
Lineage: Eukaryota; Viridiplantae; Streptophyta; Magnoliopsida; Asterales; Asteraceae
Description: hypothetical non coding rna
Source: RNAcentral